RNAcentral lists this ribosomal RNA (466 nucleotides) under uncultured bacterium. RNAcentral's name for it is "partial 16S ribosomal RNA". It matches the Rfam family "Bacterial small subunit ribosomal RNA", at positions 28 to 507 of the family's 1533-position model. The record is from RNAcentral.
GACGAACGCUGGCGGCGCGCCUAACACAUGCAAGUCGAACGAGCGCGAGAGAUCUUGCUUUCUCAAGCUAGUUGCGAACUGGUGAGUUACGCUUGAGGUACCUGCCUCACCGCGGGGGACAACAUUUUGACACGUCUUCUAAUACCGCAUAAGCCCACAGGUCUUCAUCUACCCGAGGGAUAAGUUGCAAUCCGCUUUGAGAUGGCCUCUCGUCCGAUUAGCUAGUUGGUGUGGUAACGGCCCACCAAGGCCACGAUCGGUAGCCGGACUGAGAGGAUGAACGGCCACAUUGGGACUGAGACACGGCCCAGACUCCUACGGGAAGCAGCAGUGGGGAAUAUUGGACAAUGGGGGAAAGCCUGAUGCAGCGACGCCGCGUGGAGGAAGAAGGUCUUAGGAUUGUAAAGUCCUGUUGUUGAGGAAGAUAAUGACGGUACUCAAAAAAGAAGUUACGGCUAACUACGUG